GUGUAGUCCAUAUCUUGAAUGUUCAUAUUUAUUAACAGAACCAGAAGGAUGUUGAGUCAACCAGUGUAGUCAUGCAAGAGAGUGGUGGAGCUUGGGAGGUGAGGUUGUGAAAUUCAAGUACAGGACAGUCAGAAUUUACAUGUAGAUCACAUAUCAGCCACACACAUUGAAAUACAGAGGUCUGUAGUAGCUCUUCACUAAGAGCACACAUCAUAGAAAAUAUGUUUACUAAGUAAUAUUAAAUGAAAUGGCUGAAGGCUGUAGUUUGCAUGGGCGUUGUAGCAGAUCAAUGAGUUGUUGUGUCCAUCAGUGCGCAUACAGCAUGUGGACACCUGACCAUAACACCUAUAUGUUGGCCAUCCUGUUCCAAAACAUUUGCAAAACAUUUGUCCCCACUGGCGUUGCUAUCCGGGGUGUGGUUGCACCAGGGCCCCCUGUGGGUGGGAGGCCCGUGCUUGACCUCUAUAAAAAUGUUUUUGUAAUUUUAUGUUUUAUCACGUGUUCCUAUGUGGUUAUCACAGUCAGACCUCAGGAUUGGCAUUCUUCUACAGUAUUGCUAUGAUGAAUUCACUGACAGAAUUCCCCUCCCUUAUUAUCCAAUCACUGUGGGCAUAGUAAGUAAGCUUGUUUGUGGAACAAGGUCAUCUAUUGCAAUAGGGUCAACCGCGCCCUUUCUCUUAGCUUAAGACCUCUCCCCAUUCCUUUGUAAAAGUUGGUCUUAGCAGCUUUGUGAAUAGGUUUUAAGAGGAAACUCUUAGCUAGGAACAUUUACUGCUGUUUAGGAGUCCUCCUAGUGGUAAGACAAAAUGUUUUGUUAAUACAGCCCUAGGACUACAUCAAAAUUGUGAGAUGGCUAGGUGUCGCCAGGAGAGGAGAAAAACCACUGAUUUAGGUGACGAAGAGAAACCCAUAGCGACUGUAAUUAAGUACUAGCAAUCUCUGCUGUGGCAGGUUGAAGAAGCAAGUUACCUAAGUGUCUCAUAUUGUAUUUAUAGCAGCUUUUUGUCUUACAAAAUAACAUUAUAGAAUAACAUUCUCAUGAUGUCUGAACAGA
Esox lucius (northern pike) is the source of this 1054-nucleotide long non-coding RNA. NCBI's taxonomy places the organism in Eukaryota, Metazoa, Chordata, Actinopteri, Esociformes, Esocidae. The record is from Ensembl.